Molecule: long non-coding RNA, 2414 nt
Filed under: Coffea arabica (coffee)
Lineage: Eukaryota; Viridiplantae; Streptophyta; Magnoliopsida; Gentianales; Rubiaceae
Description: long non-coding RNA (CARA_LNC002501)
Source: RNAcentral
UUUUUUUUUUUUUUGUCUAUUCAAGGGAGAUUUUUCAAUUAGGGGAUACUUUCAGAAACUUUCCGUGAGAUUUCUAACUAUUUCACUAGCCUCCCUCUAAAUUUUAAAAAUUACAUUAUCCUCUCUUGAGAUUUAUUAUCUUGUAACAUUUAGAUCCAACUAACAAUUAAAAAGUGUUAUUAAGAGAGAGAAAAUAAUAUAAUUUCACCAUUAUCCCUCAUCCAUUUACUGUUUAUCAUCAGGAAUGAAAUCACAUAUGAUAUAAAAAAUAGUGUAUCAUUCUGUGUAUUUCACUUAAUGUAAGAUCCAAAUUGCUCUUUUCAAUUACAAACUCAUUGUCAAACAUGAUCAACAACGAAUAAUAAAAAAAAUCUGUAACUAAAAUACUACAAAGAGCCAAUUUUAAUAUCAUAAAAAUCUCAGUAACUAAGUUUGAUAUGUUGACAAGAAUAUUUAUGAUAUUAAAGUUUGCUCUCUGUAAUAUUUUGAUCGCAAAUUUUUUAAUUAUUUGUUGUUAAUCAUGUUUGACAAUGGUUCUGUAAUUGAAAAGAGUAAUUUGAAUAUUGUAUUAACUAAAAAAAUAUAUAUAUAAUGGUAUACUAUUUUUUUUAUACUAUAUAUGACUUGAUCCCUAAUGAUAUACAACAAAUUUUAGUAUUUUUCUUUAAGGUGUGGGUUGAUAUUAAAUUAAUUAAAUAAUAUAGUAGAUGAGGGACAAUGAUAACAUUAUAUUAUUUACUCUCUCCUAAUAUUAUUUUUUAAUUAUUGAUUGGACCUAAAUAUUAUAAUAUAAAUAAUCUCAAGAAAAGUUAGUGUAAUUUUAAAAAAUAAGAGGGAGUCCAGUGAAAUAAUCAGAAACCUCAGCGAGGUUUCUAAAAUUAUGCCUAUAAUUAAAUCUUACAAUUGAUAGAGACAACUUUGAAAGUUGACGUUAUCUAAUACCUUUUAGGUUUCUGAAAUUAUGCCUAUAAUUAAAUCUUCCAAAUGAUAGAGACAACUUUGAAAGUUGACGUUAUCUAAUAGCUUUUAUUAACCACUCCCACACCAAUCCCCACCAAAAAAAAAAAAGGCAAACGAAGCGUAGUAGAUGGACAAAAGGAUUCUCUUCACAUUGUCGGCUACUCGUUGCAGUUUGGGCCUCAUAAAAUUGAAUCCCUGACUUUCCCUGGGCCAUCCCAUGUUGGUGUAGACCUAAACUUCUGUUUGUGCCUUCCUAUCACAGCCUCUCUAUUAUUCGGGCCAGAUAUCAGGGCAGGAGUACCAUCUAAAUAACCAUUCGCUGGUGUCCAAAAUGGGUACUAGGCCUGAUUAAUCUACGGGGGAUUUUAAAAAAGAUAAUUAUCAAUUCUUUUUAGCUCAUCAAUGUUAUGGGUUUGAAAUCCGUUCCCCUCCGAAAGUUAAUUUGCAUUUGGGUGGAGUGAAACUAAAUGAAAAUUUGAAUCUUGAAUGUUUAUGCGAUUUUUCAAGAUUCAAAAAGUUUUUCACCCUCCAACGAACGAAAAGAUUCAAGUUAAUAUAUGGCGCAAAGCCUUUUGAACAAAAAAAAUCACGAAAAAAAAUAAGAUCCGUUAUAUGAUAUUAUGAUAAUUUAUUAAUUUAUUGAUAAUUAAUGUCCAAAGAUUUAAUUCAGACGCUCGUUUAAUCCUUCUUUUAACAUGAUUUGAAUUUCUUGUAGCUAGAAGCCAAAAAAUAAUAAGGGAUUAAAGCAUUAAAUCUCCUAAAGUUUGGUGUCAUUUGCAUUUUAACCUCUAAAAACAACAUUAAAGAAAACUAACAUAAAGCUAGAAGCAUUUUACAAUUCACGUUUUUAAAAUUUUUAUAAAAAAAAAUCUUCUUUUUUUUUCGGUGUGUCUUUUUUAUAUAGCAAUUUUAUUUCAAUGACGAAACAAAAACAUCUUUUCCAUAAUUAAAAGCUUGAAUAUCUAAUUUACCUUCAUUUCUAGUAAUUAAAAGCCAAUGCAAAUGAAUAUCUAAUUUACCUUCACUUACAUGUCAAGUAUCAAAAAGUAAAUGUUCAAGAGAAAUGUUGAAUUGAUAGAUUGUAGUAAGAAAGAAAAUCAAGAGUCUUUCCAGAAGAAAAGUUAACUAAAGCAGGGGUAACUAAAACAGAUGCUAUUGAGUUGAAAAAUUGCCUCGCAAUGAAUCAGGGAAGUAGAAUUAUCAAGCAAUCAUCAAAGCAGACAAAACAAAGUAUCCAUUAUCAAAUCCCAUUAUGCACGAAAGUGAAACCACAAGUACAAACAAACAAACAAACAAACAAACUAGUUGCCAAACAGCAUGAAACACAAGCUAGCCAUCAGCCAAAACAGAAACGAGUCAGGCUAACCAUUAUCAUAUCCCAAUUUGCUUUUAUUACAGGAAUCUUUGGCCCUCCAGCAACAACCUCCUUGACAAAGUCCCAAGACAAUAGCUAG